Ciona intestinalis (vase tunicate) is the source of this 565-nucleotide non-coding RNA. The record is from RefSeq and is a predicted model, not a curated record. NCBI's taxonomy places the organism in Eukaryota, Metazoa, Chordata, Ascidiacea, Phlebobranchia, Cionidae.
UUUGCUACCGUGAUCGAAGAGACAACUAAAAAAGUCACUAUUACAUAGUUUCCCAAAGAUAGCCAGUUGAUUUUAUUUUUGUACAAAAUUGAAAUAUUUCUUAAUUUCAAUAAUCCAUCAUAAUAGGAAACCUGCCCACAACAAUAGCUCCUACAACAACAACUAAUACAGCUCCCACAACCACUACUAUAGCUGUUACAACUGAACAAAUAACAACAGAAGUUUUGUUGACAUCAAAACGAAUAACAACAACCGAAAAUAUUAGAUCAACUGUAAACAACUUUCAUACAACAGACAACACUCCUGCAACAAUGAAUAAAGCACCUACGAGCGCUACGAGCGCUACAAGCGGAACGAGCGGUACGAGCGGAACGAGCGGUACGAGCGGAACGAGCGGCACAAGCGGAACAAGCGGAACGAGCGGGACGAGUGGUACCAGCGGAACGAGCGGGACGAGUGGUACCAGCGGAACGAGCGGUACAAGAGUGGUUGUUUAUGCAAUGAUCGGUGUUGGAGCAAUAGUUGUCCUAGUAAUUUGUGGAAUAAUAUACAUUAAGUAUUGCAG